RNAcentral lists this ribosomal RNA (403 nucleotides) under uncultured bacterium. RNAcentral's name for it is "partial 16S ribosomal RNA". It matches the Rfam family "Bacterial small subunit ribosomal RNA", at positions 28 to 526 of the family's 1533-position model. The record is from RNAcentral.
GACGAACGCUGGCGGCGUGCCUAAUACAUGCAAGUCGAACGCAGUGGGGACGGGUGAGUAACACGUGGGUAACCUCCCGUCAGAGGGGAUAACACGUGGAAACAGGUGCUAAACCGAUACUGAGGGAUGAACCCGCGGUGGAUUAGCUCGUUGGUGAGGUAACGGCUCACCAAGGCCACGAUGCAUAGCCGGCCUGAGAGGGUGAUCGGCCACACUGGGACUGAGACACGGCCCAGACGCCUACGGGAGGCAGCAGUAGGGAAUCUUCCGCAAUGGCCGCAAGUCUGACCGAGCCACGCCGCGUGAGUGAAGAAGGCUUUCGGCUCGUAAAGCACUGUUAUUAGAGAAGCGGUACCUAAACAGAAAGCCACGGCUAACUACGUGCCAGCAGCCGCGGUAAUUC